AAAAAAUUAAAAUAAAUUACUAAAAUAGUAUAUAAUUAUUUAUUGAAACUUAAAUAAUUUGGCGGUAUUUUAGUUCAUUUAGAGGAAUCUGUCUAGUAAUUGAUAAUCCACGAAUAAUCAUAUUUAAUUUAUAAUUUUAUAUAUCGUUGUUAAAAAAAUAUUUUUAAAUAAAAAUAAUAUUUUAAAAUUUUAAUAAUAAAAUUAAUUCAGAUCAAGAUGUAGAUAAUAAUUAAAAUAUAAGAUGAAUUACAAUAUAAAUAUAUAAAUGGAUAUUAAUUUUGAAAUAGUUAGUUAAAAGUGGAUUUAAAUGUAAUUUUAAAUAAUUUUUUAAAAUGAUUAAUAAUUGAAAUAUGUACAUAUUGCCCGUCACUUUCAUUUUAAAAUUGAAAAAAGUCGUAACAAAGUAGGGGUACUGGAAAGUGUUCCUAGAAAGA
Molecule: ribosomal RNA, 434 nt
Filed under: Pieris virginiensis (West Virginia white)
Lineage: Eukaryota; Metazoa; Arthropoda; Insecta; Lepidoptera; Pieridae
Description: partial 12S ribosomal RNA
Source: RNAcentral